Molecule: non-coding RNA, 297 nt
Organism: Biomphalaria pfeifferi
Lineage: Eukaryota; Metazoa; Mollusca; Gastropoda; Planorbidae
Source: the annotation of a GenBank genome assembly
AAGUAUUUCAAAACCUGUCUUAACAAAAACAGCAAAAAAUAUUUAACAAGCAUGUAUUUAUAUUAAUUACAGAAGUCAUUCUAAAUUUAACAAAAAUACUGUCAAGAUACUGUUUUCUUUGCACAUGUAAAUAUUUAAUACAAAGUAGUUUUGCAUAUGCAACCCAUAUUUUAUGUAUUUAUUUGACACUUUAAUGACAAGGAAGAACUGCUUGUAAAAUUGUACAUUUAAAUUUUUUUCUUUGUAAAUUAUAUCAUUUCAUGUACAGAUAAAUAAAUAAACACAAGUAUGAUCAAU